AUACAUGCAAGUCGAACGAGUUCUCGUUGAUGAUCGGUGCUUGCACCGAGAUUCAACAUGGAACGAGUGGCGGACGGGUGAGUAACACGUGGGUAACCUGCCCUUAAGUGGGGGAUAACAUUUGGAAACAGAUGCUAAUACCGCAUAGAUCCAAGAACCGCAUGGUUCUUGGCUGAAAGAUGGCGUAAGCUAUCGCUUUUGGAUGGACCCGCGGCGUAUUAGCUAGUUGGUGAGGUAAUGGCUCACCAAGGCGAUGAUACGUAGCCGAACUGAGAGGUUGAUCGGCCACAUUGGGACUGAGACACGGCCCAAACUCCUACGGGAGGCAGCAGUAGGGAAUCUUCCACAAUGGACGCAAGUCUGAUGGAGCAACGCCGCGUGAGUGAAGAAGGCUUUCGGGUCGUAAAACUCUGUUGUUGGAGAAGAAUGGUCGGCAGAGUAACUGUUGUCGGCGUGACGGUAUCCAACCAGAAAGCCACGGCUAACUACGUGCCAGCAGCCGCGGUAAUACGUAGGUGGCAAGCGUUAUCCGGAUUUAUUGGGCGUAAAGCGAGCGCAGGCGGUUUUUUAAGUCUGAUGUGAAAGCCCUCGGCUUAACCGAGGAAGCGCAUCGGAAACUGGGAAACUUGAGUGCAGAAGAGGACAGUGGAACUCCAUGUGUAGCGGUGAAAUGCGUAGAUAUAUGGAAGAACACCAGUGGCGAAGGCGGCUGUCUGGUCUGUAACUGACG
Molecule: ribosomal RNA, 730 nt
Filed under: Lactobacillus casei group sp.
Lineage: Bacteria; Bacillati; Bacillota; Bacilli; Lactobacillales; Lactobacillaceae
Description: bacterial SSU rRNA
Rfam family: Bacterial small subunit ribosomal RNA
Source: RNAcentral